Molecule: long non-coding RNA, 445 nt
Organism: Megalops cyprinoides (Indo-Pacific tarpon)
Lineage: Eukaryota; Metazoa; Chordata; Actinopteri; Elopiformes; Megalopidae
Exons: 4
Source: RefSeq, a predicted model, not a curated record
GAGCCCUCUUAAUUAUCAUUCUUCUUGUCCUUGCCAUCUAUAUGAUGACAAAGAGCAUCAUCUCUAAGGACACAAAAUGUGUAAGAGUGCAAAGAAACCGAAGGGGAGAAGACACAAACGACCCUGAUUGUUCCCCUUACGCAGUGGCUGGGAGAGAAGCUGAGCCAUACUCUAUGGUACAGCUGUCAGCCCUGGCCACGGAUCCUGCAGGCAGUGCAGAGAGAGCAGGGGGCCAGAACAUUCCCUCCAAUGAGGUCUACUCCAUAGUCAGGCUGAACUCUACCUACGAAGCCUCGUCUCCACGAAAGGACACAGACGGCUCCAGCCCCCGGCCUGAACACCUUGUCCGGGAAGGAAAACAGCCCGAGGGGACCGCAGACACAGCACGCAACGUGUAUGAGAAAGUCAAAGACGACACAGAUACGUACACAUACAUCUCUCAAUA